This 469-nucleotide ribosomal RNA is filed under the name uncultured Methanosaeta sp. Its description in RNAcentral is "bacterial SSU rRNA". It matches the Rfam family "Archaeal small subunit ribosomal RNA", at positions 871 to 1337 of the family's 1478-position model. The record is from RNAcentral. Lineage: Archaea; Methanobacteriati; Methanobacteriota; Methanomicrobia; Methanotrichales; Methanotrichaceae.
GACGGGGAGCACCACAACGGGUGGAGCUUGCGGUUUAAUUGGAUUCAACGCCGGAAAUCUUACCGGACCGACAGCAAUAUGAAGGCCAGGCUGAAGACUUUGCCGGAUUAGCUGAGAGGUGGUGCAUGGCCGUCGUCAGUUCGUACUGUGAAGCAUCCUGUUAAGUCAGGCAACGAGCGAGACCCACGCCCACAGUUGCCAGCGUACUCUCUGGAGUGACGGGUACACUGUGGGACCGCCGCUGCUAAAGCGGAGGAAGGAAUGGGCAACGGUAGGUCAGUAUGCCCCGAAUAUCCCGGGCUACACGCGAGCUACAAUGGUUGGUACAAUGGGUAUCUACCCCGAAAGGGGACGGGAAUCUCCUAAAACCAAUCUUAGUUCGGAUUGAGGGCUGCAACUCGCCCUCAUGAAGCUGGAAUCCGUAGUAAUCGCGUUUCAACAGAACGCGGUGAAUACGUCCCUGCUCCUU